UACGGAGGGUGCAAGCGUUGUUCGGAAUUACUGGGCGUAAAGGGCGCGUAGGCGGCUGGAUAAGUCAGAUGUGAAAUCCCACGGCUCAACUGUGGAAGUGCAUUUGAAACUGUCUGGCUUGAGUAUCGGAGGGGAAAGUGGAAUUCCCGGUGUAGAGGUGAAAUUCGUAGAGAUCGGGAGGAACACCGGUGGCGAAGGCGACUUUCUGGACGAAUACUGACGCUGAGGCGCGAAAGCGUGGGGAGCAAACAGG
Molecule: ribosomal RNA, 253 nt
Filed under: uncultured bacterium
Lineage: Bacteria
Description: partial 16S ribosomal RNA
Rfam family: Bacterial small subunit ribosomal RNA
Source: RNAcentral